Molecule: long non-coding RNA, 760 nt
Filed under: Brassica napus (rape)
Lineage: Eukaryota; Viridiplantae; Streptophyta; Magnoliopsida; Brassicales; Brassicaceae
Description: long non-coding RNA (BNAP_LNC005052)
Source: RNAcentral
UUCUUGUUCUUAUUCGAUAACAUUUCGUUUUGUUUUCUUUUUCAUAUCCUUUUGUAUCUUCUUUUUGACGACGACCCAUGCUCAAGUAGUCCACCGACGGCUCUGGCCGUGGCCAGCGGGACCUUGGCCGUCAAGGCCUUGGCCAACGAGACCUUGGCCGUUUCCAUGGCCAAUGGAACCUCCACAACCUGGCCCACCACCAAACCCAUCACCAAAGCCUGGUCCAACACCUGGCCCAUCUCCAAACCCACCAAUUCCACCUAAGCCUCAACCAAAGCCACCAGCCCCUGGUCCAUCUCCAUGUCCACCAAUACCACCUAAGCCUCAACCAAAGCCGCCACCAAAGCCGCAACCAAAGCCACCACCGGCACCUACCCCGUCUCCAUGCCCACCGCAACCACCAAAGCCACAACCAAAGCCACCACCAGCACCUGGUCCAUCACCAAAUCCAGGUCCAUCACCAUCACCACCUAAGCCACCACCUAGUCCAGCUCCGAAACCUGUUCCACCACCUUCUCCAUCGCCAAAACCUAGCCCACCCAAGCCACCUUCUCCAUCGCCAAAACCUAGCCCACCCAAGCCACCUGCCCCAUCGCCAAAACCUAGCCCACCUAAGCCACCUGCCCCAUCACCACCUAAGCCACAGAACAAAACCAUACCGGCAGUGUUUUUCUUUGGUGAUUCGAUCUUUGACACAGGAAAUAACAAUAACCUAGACACAAAGCUAAAAUGUAAUUAUCGUCCCUAUGGUAUGGAUUUU